AGCAGCCGCGGUAAUUCCAGCUCCAAUAGCGUAUAUUAAAGUUGUUGCAGUUAAAAAGCUCGUAGUUGAAUUUCGGGGUUAGCAAGUUGGUCGUGCCUUUGGUAUGCACUGGCUUUGCUGAUUCCUCCUUCUUGAAGAACUGUGAUGCUAUUAAUUUGGUGUUGCAGGGAAACAGGACUGUUACUUUGAAAAAUUAGAGUGUUUAAAGCAGGCUAACGCUUGAAUACAUUAGCAUGGAAUAAUGAAAUAGGACGUUUGAUCCUAUUUUGUUGGUUUCUAGGAUUGACGUAAUGAUUAAUAGGGAUAGUUGGGGGCAUUAGUAUUCAAUUGUCAGAGGUGAAAUUCUUGGAUUUAUUGAAGACUAACUACUGCGAAAGCAUUUGCCAAGGAUGUUUUCAUUAAUCAAGAACGAAAGUUAGGGGAUCGAAGACGAUCAGAUACCGUCGUAGUCUUAACCAUAAACUAUGCCGACUAGGGAUCGGAUGAUGUUAAUUUUAUAAUGACUCAUUC
RNAcentral lists this ribosomal RNA (510 nucleotides) under uncultured Glomus. RNAcentral's name for it is "SSU rRNA". It matches the Rfam family "Eukaryotic small subunit ribosomal RNA", at positions 569 to 1081 of the family's 1831-position model. Lineage: Eukaryota; Fungi; Glomeromycota; Glomeromycetes; Glomerales; Glomeraceae. The record is from RNAcentral.